GACGAACGCUGGCGGCGUGCUUAACACAUGCAAGUCGAACGGAAAGUCCCUGAUUUUGAGUUGGGCUGGAUUGGCGAACUGGUGAUUAACGAGGGAGUAACCUCCCCUGGACUUUGUGAUAACUACAGGAAACUAGGAGUAAGACCGGAUAGGUACUCCUGCUGCAGCGUGGGGGUCUGCAAGGUUCGGCGGGUGGGGAUGGACUGGCGGCAGAUCAGCUUGGGUUGGUGGUAGUGGCUGAUCAAGUCAUUGACGGGUAACGGGCCCGUGAGGGUGACGGGCAACGUUGGGACUGGGAUAAGACACAGACUCCUACGGGAGGCAGGAGUGGGGAAUAUUGCACAAUGGGAUGAAGCAUAAUGUAGCACAGCCGCGUGGGGGAUGAGGACAUUCGGGUUGUAAACCGCUUUCGCCUGUGAAGAAGAGUGAGUGACGGUAACGGGUUAAGAAGCACCGGCUAACUACGUG
RNAcentral lists this ribosomal RNA (468 nucleotides) under uncultured bacterium. RNAcentral describes it as "partial 16S ribosomal RNA". It matches the Rfam family "Bacterial small subunit ribosomal RNA", at positions 28 to 507 of the family's 1533-position model. The record is from RNAcentral.